RNAcentral lists this ribosomal RNA (74 nucleotides) under uncultured Bacteroidota bacterium. RNAcentral describes it as "uncultured Bacteroidetes bacterium partial 16S ribosomal RNA". Lineage: Bacteria; Pseudomonadati; Bacteroidota. The record is from RNAcentral.
CGGGCUCAAACGCUGAUAGACCGGUGUGGAAACACGCCUUCCCUUCGGGGCUGUCAGCGAGGUGCUGCAUGGUU